GAUUAUUUAAAAAGGGAGGGGGGGGGAUGUCUGAUAAAGGGUAUGAAAUGAUAAAAAUACAUAAUGUAUUUUUUUUUAAUUCUUCAUUUUUCAUUCACAUGCACUCAACUGAAUAUCAGGAA
Molecule: non-coding RNA, 122 nt
Filed under: Heterosigma akashiwo
Lineage: Eukaryota; Raphidophyceae; Chattonellales; Chattonellaceae
Source: RNAcentral